GAACAAGCAGAGGUAAAAAUAAUAGUGUGUGCAUUGGCAGAAGCGGCAGCAGAUGCACAUGAAUGCUUGCUUGGUCAUCAAGAUGCUUUUGCCGAUGACAGAAAGGAAAUAAUUACAGAUGAGACAACCGCUGACACUCCUACAUAAGAAGGAGAUAGGAACAUCUUAAUCCUUCAAAACGUUUAUUGUAUAUUUUUAUUGCUUAAUCAUCUUUUAUAUAAUCGGUAGUUAGUUGUAAACAAUGUAUUAAUACGGUCUCAAUUUACCAGUACUAACUGUAUAAUGCCAAUUGCAUAGCGAAUAAUUAAGCGAGUACAAGUGCGUUAUGUUUUAUGAAACACACCUAGUAUUAUUUUAUUCUCUUUUUUCUUUGCAGAUAAUUCAAAGACAAUUUAGCGUAGCAGACAAAAUAAAUCUUCUACAACAAAUUACACAAAUAUCAUGCUAUAGAUAUUGCAUAAAUAAACUUAUAAACUGUUGAGACUGUGAAAAAUAUUUUUUUCUGUUCGAUAAUUUGUGUUCAUUUUCAUCAUUUAUAUAUUCAAUAUAUUUCCCCAUUUAAACGAUAUCACGUCUUUACAUUUUGUUAAGUAUCUAGCUUAUUGACUUAGCUUUUGGCCUAAUAAUAUGUAAAACAUAUACAUACGUGCCCUUUCUCACUUACGUUGUCUGCAUUAAACCUUUGGAUUACAA
Ruditapes philippinarum (Manila clam) is the source of this 693-nucleotide long non-coding RNA. RefSeq lists it as uncharacterized. The record is from RefSeq and is a predicted model, not a curated record. The transcript has 2 exons. NCBI's taxonomy places the organism in Eukaryota, Metazoa, Mollusca, Bivalvia, Venerida, Veneridae.